AUUGAACGCUGGCGGCAGGCUUAACACAUGCAAGUCGAGCGGGGGAAGGUAGCUUGCUACUGGACCUAGCGGCGGACGGGUGAGUAAUGCUUAGGAAUCUGCCUAUUAGUGGGGGACAACAUCUCGAAAGGGAUGCUAAUACCGCAUACGUCCUACGGGAGAAAGCAGGGGAUCUUCGGACCUUGCGCUAAUAGAUGAGCCUAAGUCGGAUUAGCUAGUUGGUGGGGUAAAGGCCUACCAAGGCGACGAUCUGUAGCGGGUCUGAGAGGAUGAUCCGCCACACUGGGACUGAGACACGGCCCAGACUCCUACGGGAGGCAGCAGUGGGGAAUAUUGGACAAUGGGGGGAACCCUGAUCCAGCCACGCCGCGUGUGUGAAGAAGGCCUUAUGGUUGUAAAGCACUUUAAGCGAGGAGGAGGCUACUUUAGUUAAUACCUAGAGAUAGUGGACGUUACUCGCAGAAUAAGCACCGGCUAACUCUGUGCCAGCAGCCGCAGUAA
Molecule: ribosomal RNA, 501 nt
Filed under: uncultured bacterium
Lineage: Bacteria
Description: partial 16S ribosomal RNA
Rfam family: Bacterial small subunit ribosomal RNA
Source: RNAcentral